Molecule: ribosomal RNA, 481 nt
Filed under: uncultured bacterium
Lineage: Bacteria
Description: partial 16S ribosomal RNA
Rfam family: Bacterial small subunit ribosomal RNA
Source: RNAcentral
GAUGAACGCUGGCGGCGUGCUUAACACAUGCAAGUCGAACGAAACACCUUAUUUGAUUUUCUUCGGAACUGAAGAUUUGGUGAUUGAGUGGCGGACGGGUGAGUAACGCGUUGGUAACCUGCCCUGUACAGGGGGAUAACAGUCAGAAAUGACUGCUAAUACCGCAUAAGACCACAGCACCGCAUGGUGCAGGGGUAAAAACUCCGGUGGUACAGGAUGGACCCGCGUCUGAUUAGCUGGCUGGUGAGGUAACGGCUCACCAAGGCGACGAUCAGUAGCCGGCUGGAGAGAGGGAACGGCGACAUUAGGACUACGACACGGAGCAAUAUGCAACGGGAGGCAGCAGUGGGGAAUAUUACACAAUGGGGGAGAGUCUGAUGCAGCGACGCCGCGUGAGUGAAGAAGUAUUUCGGUAUGUAAAGAUCUAUCAGCAGGGAAGAAGAUGACGGUACCUUACUAAGAAGCCCCGGCUAACUACGUG